GGGGUUGUGGCUCAGUGGUAGAGUCCUCACCUGGUACGUGCAAGGUCCUGGGUUCAAUUCUCAGCACCA
Molecule: transfer RNA, 69 nt
Filed under: Ictidomys tridecemlineatus (thirteen-lined ground squirrel)
Lineage: Eukaryota; Metazoa; Chordata; Mammalia; Rodentia; Sciuridae
Description: Spermophilus tridecemlineatus (thirteen-lined ground squirrel) tRNA
Rfam family: tRNA
About the family: Transfer RNA (tRNA) molecules are approximately 80 nucleotides in length. Their secondary structure includes four short double-helical elements and three loops (D, anti-codon, and T loops).
Source: Rfam by way of RNAcentral